CCCGUGCAUCCCGCCUAACGACGCCCGCGCAUUGCAGUUGGCUGUCGCAGUGGUCGUGCACCACCCGCGGGCGGUGCUGCCGGAAGCCCCUCCCGGGGCCGCGGCUCGGUGGCUGGCUGACCGCGGCUGUCACUCCCGGGCGUUUUCCCCGGGCCGGUGCUCAGCUGGGGCGGAGGAAGAGGCGGCCAGGGCCUGCCGAGCCGUUGCAGUCUUCGCGGCUGCUAUGCUCAGGGAGCGCAGCGCCCUCCGCAGCUCCGCGCAGCCCUAGAGGCAGCCGAGCGCCCGCCGACGCCGCCCGGAUCACCGGUGCCACCGCUACCCCGGUCCCGCAGCUCCCGUGGAUUCUCCGGCGCUGCUUGCGAGGCCAGACGGAGGCAAGAUGAAGAUGACGGUGGAUUUCGAGGAGUGUCUGAAGGACUCGCCCCGUUUCAGGUAACCACUGUGUCUGCUAGUGCCUCCCGGAGCCGCCUAUGCCCGCGGCGGGGCGUGAGAGCCGGUCUUGGGGAGCGGCCG
This 513-nucleotide long non-coding RNA is filed under the name Rattus norvegicus (Norway rat). Its description in RNAcentral is "long non-coding RNA NONRATT006650". The record is from RNAcentral. Lineage: Eukaryota; Metazoa; Chordata; Mammalia; Rodentia; Muridae.